RNAcentral lists this RNase P RNA (355 nucleotides) under Pseudohaemophilus paraphrohaemolyticus. Its description in RNAcentral is "Haemophilus paraphrohaemolyticus rnpB". The stretch from base 43 to 355 matches the Rfam family "Bacterial RNase P class A", at positions 1 to 324 of the family's 367-position model. From Rfam's summary of the family: Ribonuclease P (RNase P) is a ubiquitous endoribonuclease, found in archaea, bacteria and eukarya as well as chloroplasts and mitochondria. Its best characterised activity is the generation of mature 5'-ends of tRNAs by cleaving the 5'-leader elements of precursor-tRNAs. Lineage: Bacteria; Pseudomonadati; Pseudomonadota; Gammaproteobacteria; Pasteurellales; Pasteurellaceae. The record is from RNAcentral.
GGUUUAUUGAAGCCCUAAACUGUGUCGCACGGCUGUGCAAUACAAAAUAGUGGGACAAGUAAACGAGAGGAAAGUCCGAGCUACACAGGGCAGAGUGCCAGAUAACGUCUGGGCGGCGCGAGCCGACGACCAGUGCAACAGAGAGCAGACCGCCAUACUCUGUGUAUAUUUUUUAGAGAUGGUAAGGGUGAAAGGGUGCGGUAAGAGCGCACCGCGUGGGUGGCAACACUUCACGGCAGGGUAAACUCCACUCGUAGCAAGACCAAAUAGGAACUCAAUGGAUGGCCCGUCCAGAGUUCGGGUAGGUUGCUUGAGCAUAACAGCGAUGUUAUGCCUAGAGGAAUGAUUGUCCACG